GACGAACGCUGGCGGCGUGCUUAACACAUGCAAGUCGAACGGAGAUUAUUUUAAGCUUGCUUUUGAUGAUCUUAGUGGCAAACGGGUGAGUAACGCGUAGGCAACCUACCCUUCAGUGGGGGACAACAGAGGGAAACUUCUGCUAAUACCGCAUACGGCCUUGUACUGGGAUGUACGAGGAGAAAGGAUUUAUUCGCUGAGGGAUGGGCCUGCGGCCUAUCAGGUAGUUGGUGGGGUAAAGGCCUACCAAGCCUGCGACGGGUAGCCGGACUGAGAGGUCGACCGGCCACACUGGAACUGAGACACGGCCCAGACUCCUACGGGAGGCAGCAGUGGGGAAUCUUGCGCAAUGGGCGAAAGCCUGACGCAGCAACGCCGCGUGAG
RNAcentral lists this ribosomal RNA (384 nucleotides) under uncultured bacterium. Its description in RNAcentral is "bacterial SSU rRNA". It matches the Rfam family "Bacterial small subunit ribosomal RNA", at positions 28 to 405 of the family's 1533-position model. The record is from RNAcentral.